Molecule: long non-coding RNA, 177 nt
Organism: Trematomus bernacchii (emerald rockcod)
Lineage: Eukaryota; Metazoa; Chordata; Actinopteri; Perciformes; Nototheniidae
Exons: 3
Source: RefSeq, a predicted model, not a curated record
GUCACUGCUCCUCGUUCCCGGCGUUCUGAAGCAUUAAGAAAAAAAGAUGGCAACCUCCUCCACAACCUUGACUGUAUGGAUAAUCGGAGACAGCUAUGUCCGGCGUGGAGCCCAGAGAGCUACAGAGACCAUCGGCAGCAACCUUGGCCUCGACCUUCGCGCCUGCUGGUUCGGUUG